RNAcentral lists this long non-coding RNA (466 nucleotides) under Mytilus galloprovincialis (Mediterranean mussel). Lineage: Eukaryota; Metazoa; Mollusca; Bivalvia; Mytilida; Mytilidae. The record is from RNAcentral.
GUGUGUGUAUUUGUUCUGAAGAUCUGUUGUAGAUUAUGAAUUGAAGUAAAAUGGAAUCCUAGGAAAAAAGAAUAACAAAAAUACCGAACUCCGAGCCGAAUUUAUAAAACAGCAGACCAUAAAAACUGAAAACUGAAAUCUAAGGGAGCUACCAUUUGAUUUUUAUGGGGGGGCUAGGAUGAAAAAUUUUGUCCUGCAUUUUUUUUAGUUGUUAUCUCUGUCCUGCCUUUUUAUUUUUCACUCUAUUCGGUCCUGCCUUUUUUUUUAUUAGUUUAUCCUGACUUUUUUUACCUAAAUUGUCAUCCUGCCUUUUUUUUUGCAUAGUGUCUCAUCCUGCCUUUUUUUUUUUUACUCAAAACUCCUCUCCUGCCUAUUUUUUUCAAAUUUCAUCCUAGCCCCCCAUAAAAAUCAAAUGGUAGCUCCCUAACGCAAUCAAAUAUCGGAACAAAAGAAACAAUUUGCAUUU